Molecule: ribosomal RNA, 425 nt
Filed under: uncultured bacterium
Lineage: Bacteria
Description: partial 16S ribosomal RNA
Rfam family: Bacterial small subunit ribosomal RNA
Source: RNAcentral
GUGGGGAAUCUUGCGCAAUGGGCGAAAGCCUGACGCAGCCAUGCCGCGUGAAUGAUGAAGGUCUUAGGAUUGUAAAAUUCUUUCACCGGGGACGAUAAUGACGGUACCCGGAGAAGAAGCUCCGGCUAACUUCGUGCCAGCAGCCGCGGUAAUACGAAGGGGGCUAGCGUUGCUCGGAAUUACUGGGCGUAAAGGGCGCGUAGGCGGACAGCUUAGUCAGAGGUGAAAGCACAGGGCUCAACCUUGGAAUUGCCUUUGAUACUGGCUGUCUUGAGUUUGGUAGAGGUGAGUGGAACUCCGAGUGUAGAGGUGAAAUUCGUAGAUAUUCGGAAGAACACCAGUGGCGAAGGCGACUCACUGGCCCAAUACUGACGCUGAGGCGCGAAAGCGUGGGGAGCAAACAGGAUUAGAAACCCGUGUAGUCC